Molecule: ribosomal RNA, 849 nt
Filed under: uncultured Bacteroidota bacterium
Lineage: Bacteria; Pseudomonadati; Bacteroidota
Description: bacterial SSU rRNA
Rfam family: Bacterial small subunit ribosomal RNA
Source: RNAcentral
AGGGUUUGAUCAUGGCUCAGGAUGAACGCUAGCGGCAGGCCUAACACAUGCAAGUCGAGGGGCAGCACAAAGAUAGUUUACUAUCUUGGUGGCGACCGGCGCACGGGUGAGUAACGCGUAUGCAACCUACCUUAUACAGGAGUAUAGCCCGAAGAAAUUCGGAUUAAUCCUCCAUAGUAUUUUCUAAUGGCAUCAUUUGGAAAAUUAAAGCUUCGGCGGUAUAAGAUGGGCAUGCGUCCUAUUAGCUAGAUGGUAAGGUAACGGCUUACCAUGGCAACGAUAGGUAGGGGGCCUGAGAGGGUGAUCCCCCACACUGGUACUGAGACACGGACCAGACUCCUACGGGAGGCAGCAGUGAGGAAUAUUGGGCAAUGGAGGCAACUCUGACCCAGCCAUGCCGCGUGCAGGAAGAAUGCCCUAUGGGUUGUAAACUGCUUUUAUUUAGGAAUAAACCCUUCUACGUGUAGAAGGCUGAAUGUACUAAACGAAUAAGCACCGGCCAACUCCGUGCCAGCAGCCGCGGUAAUACGGAGGGUGCAAGCGUUAUCCGGAAUCAUUGGGUUUAAAGGGUCCGCAGGCGGACGUAUAAGUCAGUGGUGAAAUCCUGCAGCUUAACUGCAGAACUGCCAUUGAUACUGUACGUCUUGAAUUCGGUCGAAGUGGGCGGAAUGUGUAGUGUAGCGGUGAAAUGCAUAGAUAUUACACAGAACACCGAUAGCGAAGGCAGCUCACUAGGCCUGGAUUGACGCUCAGGGACGAAAGCGUGGGGAUCAAACAGGAUUAGAUACCCUGGUAGUCCACGCUGUAAACGAUGAUUACUCGUUUCCGGCGAUAUACAGUCGGAGACUA